GGAUUACAUGGGCAAAUCCUGACUCAUAAUCCCUUGGUCCUUGGUUCGAAUCCAAGCGGGCCCA
RNAcentral lists this transfer RNA (64 nucleotides) under Nevskiaceae bacterium. RNAcentral describes it as "tRNA-Met". The record is from RNAcentral. Lineage: Bacteria; Pseudomonadati; Pseudomonadota; Gammaproteobacteria; Nevskiales; Nevskiaceae.